AUUGAACGCUGGCGGCAUGCUUUACACAUGCAAGUCGAACGGCAGCGCGGGCUUCGGCCUGGCGGCGAGUGGCGAACGGGUGAGUAAUGCAUCGGAACGUGCCCAGUAGUGGGGGAUAGCCCGGCGAAAGCCGGAUUAAUACCGCAUACGACCUGAGGGUGAAAGCGGGGGACCGAAAGGCCUCGCGCUAUUGGAGCGGCCGAUGUCGGAUUAGCUAGUUGGUGGGGUAAAGGCUUACCAAGGCGACGAUCCGUAGCUGGUCUGAGAGGACGACCGGCCACACUGGGACUGAGACACGGCCCAGACUCCUACGGGAGGCAGCAGUGGGGAAUUUUGGACAAUGGGGGCAACCCUGAUCCAGCCAUGCCGCGUGCGGGAAGAAGGCCUUCGGGUUGUAAACCGCUUUUGUUCGGGAAGAAAUCCUCUGGGCUAAUACCCCGGGGGGAUGACGGUACCGGAAGAAUAAGCACCGGCUAACUACGUG
This 484-nucleotide ribosomal RNA is filed under the name uncultured bacterium. Its description in RNAcentral is "partial 16S ribosomal RNA". It matches the Rfam family "Bacterial small subunit ribosomal RNA", at positions 28 to 507 of the family's 1533-position model. The record is from RNAcentral.